GGUUAAGUUAGAAAGGGCGCACGGUGAAUGCCUUGGCACUAGGAGCCGAUGAAGGACGGGACUAACACCGAUAUGCUUCGGGGAGCUGUAAGUAAGCUUUGAUCCGGAGAUUUCCGAAUGGGGAAACCCCCUAUCCGUAAUGGGAUAGGAUCUUUACCUGAAUACAUAGGGUAUUGAAGGCAGACCCGGGGAACUGAAACAUCUAAGUACCCGGAGGAAGAGAAAGCAAACGCGAUUCCCUGAGUAGCGGCGAGCGAAACGGGAAGAGCCCAAACCAAGAGGCUUGCCUCUUGGGGUUGUAGGACACUCUAUACGGAGUUACAAAAGAGCGAGUUAGAUGAAGCGACUUGGAAAGGUCCGCCAGAGCAGGUAAAAGCCCUGUAGU
Molecule: ribosomal RNA, 385 nt
Filed under: Butyrivibrio sp. DSM 10294
Lineage: Bacteria; Bacillati; Bacillota; Clostridia; Lachnospirales; Lachnospiraceae
Description: partial 23S ribosomal RNA
Rfam family: Bacterial large subunit ribosomal RNA
Source: RNAcentral